This is a long non-coding RNA of Esox lucius (northern pike), 1815 nucleotides long. Lineage: Eukaryota; Metazoa; Chordata; Actinopteri; Esociformes; Esocidae. The record is from Ensembl.
GUGACAUGCGUACAUAGGCUACGACUCUUCAGUAUUGCCAGCUCGAGAGGUUUUCAUGACAGCGUGCGUAAAAUGGGUUUAGGCGAGUGGAUUUAUAGAAAUGGUUGAAUAGCAAAAAUAUAAAUUGUGCGGGUUUUUAGAGGAGUCUGCAGGACUGUGGUUGUAUUUUCAAUCAAAUCUUGCAACCCAUCUACUUCCAAGCGUAAUUUUCAAAAUGAAGCGGCAGAAUGUCAGAGCAAACCGUGCGAAGAAAUCGAGAUCACAACGAAGUACGAGCUAUAAUAUAAAGAAAAACGAAAUCCAAUGUAUUUUAAAGACACAAUUAUGCGUUCGGUUUAUUGUCGUCAUAACGGACAAUAUAAAAUAUGUGCGGAGGAUCAACUUGCUUCUCCCCCUAUGUGCGGACAGGCGUCUCCGGGUCAAAAGGUUGUAAAUAUUGACGUAGGCGAUGGCAGGAAGAUGCAAUGAAAAUGGAUCGGUAUGUGAUCUACCAAAUGGGGGCAAAACAAGACAUCCGUCAGAUGGAUGGAUUUGGAAUAACAACACAAUAAAAAAAUACCAUGUCCCCACUGUGAAAAAGUCCUGGAACGACAGCCGAGUGGACUGUCAGCAGAGGGGAGGAGACCUGUUGAAAAUCAACAACAACACAGUGAAUUCUGAUUUUCAGGGGAUCAAUUUGACGAACAUCGAUCAAUUCUGGGUCCGGACAGGUGUCAAGUCUGAAAAUGGCUGUGCUAAAUGUGAUUUAGAUUAUGAUGUAUGUCUAAAAAAUAAUCUUACAGUUGCGGAAUGUACUAAAACAAUCAAAGGGUACGUAUGUGAAAUUGACAUUUGAAUUUCUCAAGAAUGGUACCCUACAUGUAUAGUGCUGCUGAUCUUUUGCCUGAUUUCCAGGUGCUAAUGACAUUGUACAGGGUGAUAUUUAUUUUUAACAAAUUAUUUCCAAAUUGAUACUGUGUGUAUGUGAGGACUAGUCUAACGUCAAACGUCCCCUUCCAUUUAUCUACCAGUUUUUGUUUUUUUUUGCAGCUGUGUGCAAAAAACAUUCCUGUCUCUGUAGGACCCGGUUCCUCAUCCAUCUGGUACAUUGUGGUACUCUGGUCAGGAACAUGUUUUUCCAUUUAUGUUCUUUUCAGUGACCCUCUAAUUUUCCCCAUGUUUAAUCCAACGGUGCCUUAAAAACAAUUCACUAUUCAAAUGUGUUGAUAGUGUGUUACCGCACAUUUUUUACUACUCCCCUCACCCCAGAUCCAUUGACAUCAGUAUCAGAGAGUUUUAUUAACAAGUAAGUUUCACAACAAACAGGGAAUUUGUUGUGGCCUGUUAGUUUAAGAAUUUAUAAUAUAAAAUAUACAUAAGCAAUAAAAAAUAAAAACAACAGUGGACUGAGCAUAAAAACAAUAGACUGAGCAUUAAUAAAUUAUAAAAAAAUAUGUAAUGUGCAACAUUUGACCAGUUAUCAAAUUUACCAAAUAACACAGCGCCAUCCUGCACAAUGAUGUUCUUGUGACAUGGCACCCAACAUCUACGUAGUAAGAAUUAUGAAUAUGUAUAAAGCAAAAAUAUAGCAAAAAAACUAAAAUUAACAAAAUAAACCGAUUUAAUAUAACGCUGUAAAACACUCAGCAAUUGAAAAACAGUACUGUAAACUAGCAUCAGUAUGGGUGGGAGUAUUGAGUAUUAUAGGUAUGGCAGUAAUAUACAUCAUGUAAACUAGCAGCAAUUUAGAAGGACUAGGAUGAGGAAAAUGCACAAUAUGGGUAGAAGUAUUGAAAAUUAUUGAUAAAUAUGAGUGUAAUAUGCUUAUGAAUGGGA